GUAUAAAAGCCUUCCGCUGAUGCUGCGCUCACAUUACAUAGAAGCAGCGCCUGUUGGUUGUCCUCCUCCAUCUGGCCAAACCACUUCAGGAAAAAAUAAUUUAUCUUUGAAAAUGUCCAAAAUGACGAUCGUUCAACUGGGGAUGGUUUUGUUCGCAAUAUGCUUAUCAACCCAGGUGGACUCACUGGAAACCAACGCAACAUUCACCAACUCAACCUACAACCAUACCGCCACCACCCCAGGCAUCUUAAGCAGUCCCACCCACUCCUCCAUGGGAGCGGCAGUUUCGCUGAACGCAGGUGGCCUCACUGUCCUGACCCCAGUCAUCAUGGCGGCCUUUCUCCUAAAGCCCUACUGCUAAAUGGUCUCUCUUCUCAUCUCUGUGUCAAUGCUCCGCCUUGCCUCCCGUCAUCCCAAACUGAUCCAGCAUCUCCUCCUCCUUCAGAGACCACAAAACUCACGUGGAUGGACCUUCAUCAAUUAUGACAACGCUCAACAAAAGGAGUUCAGGACCCCUCCACCCCAUGCCCCUCUUGCAUAAAGCCCUGCCUUGCAUGGAUUCAAAAAGGAAUUUUGGUUCAUCCCGCUCCGCCGCGCCCUCUCGGUUUGCGUUUCCACAGUCACACCAUCACAUGCAUUGGAGACGCUCAGGGCUGCAGGUGUCAUGUCACAAGUUCUGAUUGAAAUGUGGACCACUAGAGUGUGCAGAUUCCUUUUUCUUUUGCCACUUUGAAUCUACCUGACAAUCCAUACAUCAGAAUGGUGUUUGUUUAGUUAAAGUUAAGUUUGGUGCAUUUAGCUGGAUUUUCUUAAACUUUGCUUUUUUGGUCUGUAAAUGUAUGUAGCAAAUAUGUUGCCACAUGAUUUGUGUUAGUUUUGCCCUGUGAUUUUUUAAAAUUUUAAAUCUGGUCUUUUCAUGAUGAGGGUGUGGCACCUUUCUUUACUGCAUCCAUGGGUCUCACAGCCCAGGAAAUGACUGUAUGUAAAACAAUAUGGGAAGCGUGAUGUUCGAUUUUUAUUUCCCCUUAGUAGUUUAUAUUUUGUAUAAAUUGAAAUUGAAAUGAAAUUAUGGAAGAAAUGACAGUGUACAAUAAAUUAUAAAACCAGACAA
Molecule: long non-coding RNA, 1111 nt
Organism: Xiphophorus hellerii (green swordtail)
Lineage: Eukaryota; Metazoa; Chordata; Actinopteri; Cyprinodontiformes; Poeciliidae
Exons: 2
Source: RefSeq, a predicted model, not a curated record